AUAGUUAGUAGGAUUAGACGCGAAACCUUGUGAUCUACCCAUGGGCAGGUUGAAGCUUUGGUAACACAAAGUGGAGGACCGAACCGGUUGACGUUGAAAAGUCUUCGGAUGACUUGUGGGUAGGGGUGAAAGGCCAAUCAAACUGGGAGAUAGCUCGUACUCCCCGAAAUGCAUUUAGGUGCAGCGUUGAGACAAGUUUAUUAGAGGUAGAGCUACUGAUUGGAUGCGGGGGAGUCAAAUCCUACCAAUUCCUGACAAACUCCGAAUGCUAAUAAAUGUUUCUCAGCAGUGAGGGCGCGGGUGCUAAGGUCCGUGUCCGAGAGGGAAAGAACCCAGACCAACAGCUAAGGUCCCUAAAUAUAUGCUAAGUUGAAACAACGCGGUUGGACUGCAUUGACAGCUAGGAUGUUGGCUUGGAAGCAGCCAUUCAUUUAAAGAGUGCGUAACAGCUCACUAGUCGAGCGGUCCGGCAUGGAUAAUAAUCGGGCAUAAGCAUAUUACCGAAGCUAUGGAUUUGUACAUUAGUACAUCUGGUAGGGGAGCAUUCUAUUUGCGCCGAAGCAGUAUCGUGAGGUAUUGUGGAGCGGAUAGAAAAGAAAAUGUAGGCAUAAGUAACGAUAAAGCGGGCGAGAAACCCGCUCACCGAAAGACUAAGGUUUCCUCAGCCAUGCUAAUCAGCUGAGGGUUAGUCGGGACCUAACGCGAACCCGAAAGGGGUAGUGGAUGGACAAUGGGUUAAUAUUCCCAUACUUGCUCACACUAAAAAGGGGACGGA
This 775-nucleotide ribosomal RNA is filed under the name Epilithonimonas hispanica. RNAcentral describes it as "bacterial LSU rRNA". It matches the Rfam family "Bacterial large subunit ribosomal RNA", at positions 696 to 1469 of the family's 2925-position model. Lineage: Bacteria; Pseudomonadati; Bacteroidota; Flavobacteriia; Flavobacteriales; Weeksellaceae. The record is from RNAcentral.